Molecule: ribosomal RNA, 581 nt
Filed under: uncultured bacterium
Lineage: Bacteria
Description: partial 16S ribosomal RNA
Rfam family: Bacterial small subunit ribosomal RNA
Source: RNAcentral
UGGGGAAUAUUGCACAAUGGGCGCAAGCCUGAUGCAGCCAUGCCGCGUGUGUGAAGAAGGCCUUCGGGUUGUAAAGCACUUUCAGCGAGGAGGAAGGUGGUGAACUUAAUACGUUCAUCAAUUGACGUUACUCGCAGAAGAAGCACCGGCUAACUCCGUGCCAGCAGCCGCGGUAAUACGGAGGGUGCAAGCGUUAAUCGGAAUUACUGGGCGUAAAGCGCACGCAGGCGGUUUGUUAAGUCAGAUGUGAAAUCCCCGGGCUCAACCUGGGAACUGCAUUUGAAACUGGCAAGCUAGAGUCUCGUAGAGGGGGGUAGAAUUCCAGGUGUAGCGGUGAAAUGCGUAGAGAUCUGGAGGAAUACCGGUGGCGAAGGCGGCCCCCCUGGACGAAGACUGACGCUCAGGUGCGAAAGCGUGGGAAGCAAACAGGAUUAGAUGCCCUGGUCAGUCCACGUGUAAAACGAUGUCGAUUUGGAGGUUGUGCCCUUGAGGCGUGGCUUCCGGAGCUAACGCGUUAAAUCGACCGCCUGGGGAGUACGGCCGCAAGGUUAAAACUCAAAAUGAAUUGACGGGGUCAUAGC